GGGUUGUUAGCUCAGUUGGUAGAGCGCUUCGUUUACACCGAAGAUGUCGGCGGUUCGAGCCCGUCACGACCCA
This 73-nucleotide transfer RNA is filed under the name Sulfitobacter guttiformis. It matches the Rfam family "tRNA". Rfam says of the family: Transfer RNA (tRNA) molecules are approximately 80 nucleotides in length. Their secondary structure includes four short double-helical elements and three loops (D, anti-codon, and T loops). Lineage: Bacteria; Pseudomonadati; Pseudomonadota; Alphaproteobacteria; Rhodobacterales; Roseobacteraceae. RNAcentral also lists the same sequence under 1 other name. The record is from Rfam by way of RNAcentral.